RNAcentral lists this ribosomal RNA (197 nucleotides) under uncultured bacterium. RNAcentral describes it as "partial 16S ribosomal RNA". It matches the Rfam family "Bacterial small subunit ribosomal RNA", at positions 328 to 539 of the family's 1533-position model. The record is from RNAcentral.
ACGCUCGACACCUACUGGAGGCAGCAGUGGGGAAUAUUGCACAAUGGGGGAAACCCUGAUGCAGCGACGCCGCGUGAGUGAAGAAGUAAUUCGUUAUGUAAAGCUCUAUCAGCAGGGAAGAAAGUGACGGUACCUGAGUAAGAAGCCCCGGCUAACUACGUGCCACAGCCGCGGUAAUCUGAGCGGGCUGGCAAGGC